AGUGAACGCUGGCGGUAGGCCUAACACAUGCGAGUCGAACGGCAGCACAGUAAGAGCUUGCUCUUACGGGUGGCGAGUGGCGGACGGGUGAGGAAUACAUCGGAAUCUACUUUUUCGUGGGGGAUAACGUAGGGAAACUUACGCUAAUACCGCAUACGACCUACGGGUGAAAGCAGGGGAUCUUCGGACCUUGCGCGAUUGAAUGAGCCGAUGUCGGAGUAGCUAGUUGGCGGGGUAAAGGCCCACCAAGGCGACGAACCGUAGCUGGUAUGCGAGGAUGAUCAGCCACCCUGGAAGUGGGACACGGUCCAGAGUCCUACGGGAGGCAGCAGUGGGGAAUAUGGGACAAGGGGCGCAAGCCUGAUCCAGCCAGACCGCGUGGGUGAAGAAGGCCUUCGGGUUGUAAAGCCCUUUUGUUGGGAAAGAAAAGCAGUAGGUUAAUACCCCGCUGUUCUGACGGUACCCAAAGAAUAAGCACCGGCUAACUUCGUG
RNAcentral lists this ribosomal RNA (492 nucleotides) under uncultured bacterium. Its description in RNAcentral is "partial 16S ribosomal RNA". It matches the Rfam family "Bacterial small subunit ribosomal RNA", at positions 29 to 507 of the family's 1533-position model. The record is from RNAcentral.